RNAcentral lists this long non-coding RNA (1626 nucleotides) under Daucus carota (carrot). Its description in RNAcentral is "long non-coding RNA (DCAR_LNC001219)". Lineage: Eukaryota; Viridiplantae; Streptophyta; Magnoliopsida; Apiales; Apiaceae. The record is from RNAcentral.
AAUUUUAACUUCAGUACAAACACUAACAUUCAGAACAUACCAUAAAUCAUCUUACAUGGGUAUAUGUUCAAGGUAGCUAUCAUCAUUUGAAAUAGUGAUUUAUAUUUUCUUCUUCCUAUGCUUCGAAUAUAUUUUGAUAAUGUUGUCACUCCAAGUGCAAAGAAAUCUCUUCGUAGCAUCCAUUGACGAUGUUGUUUGGCUAUUACUAUAUGCCAAUUUCUGACUAAAAAAUCUCAAUUAUGACCUUUAUUGAGGUGUUCUUCGGUGUCUCUUCUCAUAGAUGAUGAUAAUGAUUUUCUGGUUUCCUCGGAACUAUAUGAUUCUAAUUCAACCAGUAGCUUAGAUGCACAUUCAAAUGACUUGGCAUGUUUCUCUUCCAUCAAACCAUUUUCACAUGAUGUUGCACGCUUAAACAGAGAUUUGACUUCCGUCUUCAUGUUCUUACACGUACAUCAAUCUAAUAUCCAAAUUCAAAAAAAAAUAAAUUCUUAUCUUGCUCAAAUAACAAGGUUUUUAUGUAUCAAUGUAUAAUUCAUGAAAAAAUGAUGACUUACAUUUGACUCAUAAUUACACAGAAUAAUGCAUACAAAUUUGACUAUAUAACUGACAUACCUAUAAAGCUCCUCUGCUAAUGAGUAUUUAUCUUGUUGCAAGUAGACCCAGGCCAAGUUCCCUAGCAACAUGCGUCAUAGAAUCAUGAAAAAUAAGACAUAUUCUAUAAUAAAGAACUCAUAUUAAAAUGAGUUAUAUAUUGCAUAAAUUCAUAAAUGAGAGAGUUAUUAAAACACUAUGAUCGAUAGUUAUAUAUAUAUAUUUCUUAUCUUCCUUUAAUCUCUUUUAUAUAUUUUUAUCUUUUAUAGUUAUAUUUUUUGGAAGUUAUAAGUAAAAAUAUAAAAAGACAUAAUUAUUGUUAAAUUCUACACUGUGCACACCAAAUAGUUUGAAUUCACAAGACUAUAAGAAAAUUUGAGUGACAAACUUACUUGUGCUUUUAUAAUAUACCAAGAACAACCUCACCACGAAGUGUACUGCAAUGAAAUAAUAUAGAUCAAUAACAAAAUCAAUUCAAAUAUAUUAUAAUAAAAGAAACUUAUACAAGUUUUUGUUUCGUGCACAAGAAUAUAGAUCUUUCUUGAAACAUAUCGAAUUUGAUGACAUAACUUUAAGAAAUUAAUUAUAUAAAAUAAAUGCACUCUAAUGAAAUCUACAAAUUCAAUUGGAAUAACUUUAAGGUAAUUUAAUCACCGUAAACAUCUAGAGAAAGUAAGCAACAUAUUUUAGACGUACUAGAAAAUUUGUAGAUCUAAUAAUCGUAGAUCUAAUUAAAAUCUAAUUAUACUAAGAUAUCUUUUAAACAAAUGAAAAAGUUAUAUAACAUUGAAAAUUAUUUAAAAAUAAUGAUAGAUCUAACAAUAUUAAAUUGAUCCUCAAUAAAUAAUUAAAAGAGAUUUCAUCAGUAUAGAGGAAGUAAAAGAUCUAAGCAGUUAAACGAAUAUAUAAAUGAUUGUAAUAUAUAAACCUGAUGAUUGAGUUUAAAAUCAUCUUCAUCAUUUGAUUCAUCAUCAUUAGUAUCUCUCAUAUCAUUUAUGCUGACUCCAGAAAUAAUCAUCUCGAGUUUAAGAAGAA